Molecule: ribosomal RNA, 981 nt
Filed under: Kocuria rhizophila
Lineage: Bacteria; Bacillati; Actinomycetota; Actinomycetes; Micrococcales; Micrococcaceae
Description: bacterial SSU rRNA
Rfam family: Bacterial small subunit ribosomal RNA
Source: RNAcentral
AUGCAAGUCGAACGCUGAAGCUUGGUGCUUGCACUGGGUGGAUGAGUGGCGAACGGGUGAGUAAUACGUGAGUAACCUGCCCUUGACUCUGGGAUAAGCCUGGGAAACUGGGUCUAAUACUGGAUACGACAUGUCACCGCAUGGUGGUGUGUGGAAAGGGUUUUACUGGUUUUGGAUGGGCUCACGGCCUAUCAGCUUGUUGGUGGGGUAAUGGCUCACCAAGGCGACGACGGGUAGCCGGCCUGAGAGGGUGACCGGCCACACUGGGACUGAGACACGGCCCAGACUCCUACGGGAGGCAGCAGUGGGGAAUAUUGCACAAUGGGCGGAAGCCUGAUGCAGCGACGCCGCGUGAGGGAUGACGGCCUUCGGGUUGUAAACCUCUUUCAGCACGGAAGAAGCGAAAGUGACGGUACGUGCAGAAGAAGCGCCGGCUAACUACGUGCCAGCAGCCGCGGUAAUACGUAGGGCGCAAGCGUUGUCCGGAAUUAUUGGGCGUAAAGAGCUCGUAGGCGGUUUGUCGCGUCUGCUGUGAAAGCCCGGGGCUUAACCCCGGGUGUGCAGUGGGUACGGGCAGACUUGAGUGCAGUAGGGGAGACUGGAAUUCCUGGUGUAGCGGUGAAAUGCGCAGAUAUCAGGAGGAACACCGAUGGCGAAGGCAGGUCUCUGGGCUGUUACUGACGCUGAGGAGCGAAAGCAUGGGGAGCGAACAGGAUUAGAUACCCUGGUAGUCCAUGCCGUAAACGUUGGGCACUAUGUGUGGGGAACAUUCCACGUUUUCCGCGCCGUAGCUAACGCAUUAAGUGCCCCGCCUGGGGAGUACGGCCGCAAGGCUAAAACUCAAAGGGAGUUGACGGGGGCCCGCACAAGCGGCGGAGCAUGCGGAUUAAUUCGAUGCUACGCGAGACCUUACCAGGCUUGACAUACACCGGACCGGGCCAGAGAUGGUCGUUCCCCCUUGUGGGCUGGUGUACAGUGGUG